CAGUCGCCGCGGGAAAACGGAGGGUGCUAGCGUUGUUCGGAAUCACUGGGCGUAAAGGGCGCGUAGGCGGCCUGUUAAGUCGGAUGUGAAAGCCCGGGGCUCAACCCCGGAACUGCAUCCGAGACUGGCAGGCUUGAGACCGGGAGAGGAGGGUGGAAUAUCCAGUGUAGAGGUGAAAUUCGUAGAUAUUGGAUGGAACACCGGUGGCGAAAGCGGCUCUCUGGCCCGGAUCUGACGCUGAGGCGCGAAAGCGUGGGGAGCAAACAGGAUUAGAUACCCCUGUAGUCCCUGUCUCUUAUAA
RNAcentral lists this ribosomal RNA (301 nucleotides) under uncultured bacterium. Its description in RNAcentral is "partial 16S ribosomal RNA". It matches the Rfam family "Bacterial small subunit ribosomal RNA", at positions 509 to 809 of the family's 1533-position model. The record is from RNAcentral.